This 1116-nucleotide ribosomal RNA is filed under the name marine metagenome. Its description in RNAcentral is "bacterial LSU rRNA". It matches the Rfam family "Bacterial large subunit ribosomal RNA", at positions 767 to 1989 of the family's 2925-position model. The record is from RNAcentral.
UGGAGGACCGAACCCACCUAUGUUGAAAAAUGGGGGGAUGACCUGUGGCUAGGGGUGAAAGGCCAAUCAAACCCGGAAAUAGCUGGUUCUCCGCGAAAACUAUUUAGGUAGUGCGUCAUGUGUUUACCUUCGGGGGUAGAGCACUGGAUGGGCUAGGGGGGCGCGAGCCUUACCAAACCUAACCAAACUCCGAAUACCGAUGAGUACAGCAUGGCAGACAGACUAUGGGCGCUAAGGUCCGUGGUCGAAAGGGAAACAGCCCUGACCGCCAGCUAAGGUCCCGAAGUUGUGGCUAAGUGGGAAAGGAUGUGGGAAGGCCAAGACAACCAGGAGGUUGGCUUAGAAGCAGCCACCCUUGAAAGAAAGCGUAACAGCUCACUGGUCUAGAUUUAAGCCGUCCUGCGCCGAAGAUGUAACGGGGCUCAAGCCACACACCGAAGCUGCGGAUUCAAUCGUAAGAUUGAGUGGUAGCGGAGCGUUCCGUAAGCCUGUGAAGGGUGACCGUGAGGAAGCCUGGAGGUAUCGGAAGUGAGAAUGCUGACAUGAGUAGCGACAAAGAGUGUGAGAAACACUCUCGCCGAAAGUCCAAGGGUUCCUGCGUAAAGCUAAUCUGCGCAGGGUUAGCCGGCCCCUAAGGUGAGGGCGAAAGCCGUAGCCGAUGGGAAGGAGGUUAAUAUUCCUCCGCCUGCUGAGCGUGACGAAGGUCGGAAGUUGUCGUCCCUUAUCGGAUUGGGACGGCAGCCUGGAUCUUCCAGGAAACAGCGCCAGCAUUAUAGACCGUACCCUAAACCGACACAGGUGGACUGGUAGAGUAUACCAAGGCGCUUGAGAGAACGAUGUUGAAGGAACUCGGCAAAAUGCCCCCGUAACUUCGGGAUAAGGGUGACCUCUGUUUGGGCAACCGAACAGGGGUGGCACAGAAGAGGGGGUGGCGACUGUUUACUAAAAACACAGGGCUCUGCUAAGUCGCAAGACGAAGUAUAGGGUCUGACGCCUGCCCGGUGCCGGAAGGUUAAGGAGAGGGGUGCAAGCUCUGAACCGAAGCCCCGGUAAACGGCGGCCGUAACUAUAACGGUCCUAAGGUAGCGAAAUUCCUUGUCGGGUAAGUUCCGACCU